GAUGAACGCUGGCGGCGUGCCUAAUACAUGCAAGUCGAGCGAACAGAUGAGGAGCUUGCUCCUCUGACGUUAGCGGCGGACGGGUGAGUAACACGUGGAUAACCUACCUAUAAGACUGGGAUAACUUCGGGAAACCGGUGCUAAUACCUGCUAAUAUAUUGAACCGCAUGGUUCAAUAGUGAAAGACGGUUUUGCUGUCACUUAUAGAUGGAUCCGCGCCGCAUUAGCUAGUUGGUAAGGUAACGGCUUACCAAGGCAACGAUGCGUAGCCGACCUGAGAGGGUGAUCGGCCACACUGGAACUGAGACACGGUCCAGACUCCUACGGGAGGCAGCAGUAGGGAAUCUUCCGCAAUGGGCGAAAGCCUGACGGAGCAACGCCGCGUGAGUGAUGAAGGUCUUCGGAUCGUAAAACUCUGUUAUUAGGGAAGAACAAAUGUGUAAGUAACUAUGCACGUCUUGACGGUACCUAAUCAGAAAGCCACGGCUAACUACGUG
This 497-nucleotide ribosomal RNA is filed under the name uncultured bacterium. RNAcentral describes it as "partial 16S ribosomal RNA". It matches the Rfam family "Bacterial small subunit ribosomal RNA", at positions 28 to 507 of the family's 1533-position model. The record is from RNAcentral.